This 253-nucleotide ribosomal RNA is filed under the name uncultured bacterium. RNAcentral's name for it is "partial 16S ribosomal RNA". It matches the Rfam family "Bacterial small subunit ribosomal RNA", at positions 524 to 776 of the family's 1533-position model. The record is from RNAcentral.
UACGUAGGUGGCAAGCGUUGUCCGGAUUUACUGGGCGUAAAGAGCGCGCAGGCGGUCGAUUUAGUCGUGUGUGAAAGCCCCCGGCUCAACUGGGGAGGGUCACGCGAUACUGAUCGACUCGAAGGCAGGAGAGGGUAGUGGAAUUCCCGGUGUAGUGGUGAAAUGCGUAGAUAUCGUGAGGAACACCAGAGGCGAAGGCGGCUACCUGGACAAUUGCUGACGCUCAGGCACGAAAGCGUGGGGAGCAAAAGGG